CCUACGGGAGGCAGCAGUGGGGGAUAUUGCACAAUGGGGGGAACCCUGAUGCAGCGACGCCGCGUGGGUGAAGAAGCGCCUCGGCGCGUAAAGCCCUGUCAGCAGGGAAGAAAAUGACGGUACCUGAAGAAGAAGCCCCGGCUAACUACGUGCCAGCAGCCGCGGUAAUACGUAGGGGGCAAGCGUUAUCCGGAUUUACUGGGUGUAAAGGGGGCGCAGACGGCGAUGCAAGCCAGGAGUGAAAGCCGGGGGCCCAACCCCGGGACUGCUCUUGGAACUGCGUGGCUGGAGUGCAGGAGGGGCAGGCGGAAUUCCUGGUGUAGCGGUGAAAUGCGUAGAUAUCAGGAGGAACACCGGUGGCGAAGGCGGCCUGCUGGACUGCAACUGACGUUGAGGCCCGAAAGCGUGGGGAGCAAACAGGAUUAGAUACCCGUGUAGUC
Molecule: ribosomal RNA, 440 nt
Filed under: uncultured bacterium
Lineage: Bacteria
Description: partial 16S ribosomal RNA
Rfam family: Bacterial small subunit ribosomal RNA
Source: RNAcentral